AUUGAACGCUGGCGGCAGGCCUAACACAUGCAAGUCGAACGGAGCGGCGGUCGGGUGAGUAAUGCUUAGGAAUCUGCAUGGGAGUGGGGGAUAACGUCAGGAAACGGGAGCUAAUACCACAUACUCUCAGCUGAGCAUAGGUCGGAUUAACUUGUUGGUGGGGUAAAGGCUGACCAAGGCGACGAUCCGUAACUGGUCUGAGAGGAUGAUCAGUCACACUGGAACUGAGACACGGUCCAGACUCCUACGGGAGGCAGCAGUGGGGAAUAUUGGACAAUGGGCGAAAGCCUGAUCCAGCCAUGCCGCGUGUGUGAAGAAGGGCUUCGGAUUGUAAAGCACUUUAAGUUGGGAGGCGUUACCAACAGAAUAAGCACCGGCUAACUUCGUGCCAGCAGCCGCGGUAAUAC
This 407-nucleotide ribosomal RNA is filed under the name uncultured bacterium. Its description in RNAcentral is "partial 16S ribosomal RNA". It matches the Rfam family "Bacterial small subunit ribosomal RNA", at positions 30 to 526 of the family's 1533-position model. The record is from RNAcentral.